RNAcentral lists this ribosomal RNA (227 nucleotides) under uncultured bacterium. RNAcentral's name for it is "partial 16S ribosomal RNA". It matches the Rfam family "Bacterial small subunit ribosomal RNA", at positions 28 to 248 of the family's 1533-position model. The record is from RNAcentral.
GAUGAACGCUAGCUACAGGCUUAACACAUGCAAGUCGAGGGGCAGCAUGUCGGUUGCUUGCAACCGACGAUGGCGACCGGCGCACGGGUGAGUAACGCGUAUCCAACCUACCCUUGUCCAUCGGAUAACCCGUCGAAAGGCGGCCUAACACGAUAUGCGGUUCUCAGCAGGCAUCUAACGAGAACGAAAUGUGAAGGAGAAGGAUGGGGAUGCGUCUGAUUAGCUUG